This 125-nucleotide small RNA is filed under the name Marmota monax (woodchuck). The record is from RNAcentral. Lineage: Eukaryota; Metazoa; Chordata; Mammalia; Rodentia; Sciuridae.
GCUGGGUGCAGUGGUGCACCCCUGUAAUCCCAGCAGCUCAGGAGGCUGAGGCAGGAGGAUCGCAAGUUCAAAGCCAGCCUCAGCAAAAGUGAGGUGCUAAGCAACUCAGUGAGACCCUGUCUCUA